Nycticebus coucang (slow loris) is the source of this 655-nucleotide RNA transcript. It is a transcript of the gene named ubiquitin-40S ribosomal protein S27a-like, with no coding region annotated. The record is from RefSeq and is a predicted model, not a curated record. The transcript has a single exon. NCBI's taxonomy places the organism in Eukaryota, Metazoa, Chordata, Mammalia, Primates, Lorisidae.
GUCUCCCAUAAUUUGGAAAUCUAUAUGAGAACAGUAAGUUCCCAAUACAAUAGUGUCAAGCUCAUUUCUGUUAAAGACCCAGGAAAUGAAUUCAGAGUGUGAUAUUGUGACCUAAUAAGAAAAAUACAGCCUUUCUGAUCCGCCAUCUGCACCAAGAUGCAGAUUUUCAUAAAAACCCUUAUGGGGAUGACCAUCACUCUCGAGGUGGGACCCUUGGAUACGAUAGAAAAUGUGAAGGCCAAGAUCCAGGAUAAGGAAGGAAUUCUUCUGAUCAGCAAAGACUCAUUUGUGCUGGCAAACAACUGGAAGAUGGCCGUGCUUGUCUGACUACAACAUUCAAAAGGAGUCCACUCUUCAUCACAUCUCGCGGUGGUGCUGUUAGGAAGAAGGAAGAAGUCUUACACCACUCCCAAGAAGGAUAAGCAUAAGAGAAAGAAGGUUAUGCUGGCUGUCCUGAAAUACUAUAAGGUGGCUGAGAAUGGCAAAAUUAGUCCCUUUCGUCGAGAGUGUCCUUCAGAUGAGUGUGGUGCUGGAGUUUUUAUGGCCAGCCACUUUGAUAGACAUUAUUGUGGCAAAUGUUGUCUUACUUACUGCUUCAACAAACCAGAAGACAAGUAAUUGUGUAUGAGUUAAUGAAAGACAUGAACUAAAAGAA